AGCAGCCGCGGUAAUUCCAGCUCCAAUAGCGUAUAUUAAAGUUGUUGCAGUUAAAAAGCUCGUAGUUGAAUUUCGGGGUUAGUAGGUUGGUCAUGCCAUCGGUAUGUACUGGUCUCACUGAUUCCUCCUUCCUGAUGAACCGUAAUGCCAUUAAUUUGGUGUUGCGGGGAGACUGGACUGUUACUUUGAAAAAUUAGAGUGUUUAAAGCAGGCUAACGCUUGAAUACAUUAGCAUGGAAUAAUGAAAUAGGACGUUCGAUCCUAUUUUGUUGGUUUCUAGGAUUGACGUAAUGAUUAAUAGGGAUAGUUGGGGGCAUUAGUAUUCAAUUGUCAGAGGUGAAAUUCUUGGAUUUAUUGAAGACUAACUACUGCGAAAGCAUUUGCCAAGGAUGUUUUCAUUAAUCAAGAAAGAAAGUUAGGGGAUCGAAGACGAUCAGAUACCGUCGUAGUCUUAACCAUAAACUAUGCCGACUAGGGAUCGGAUGAUGUUAAUUUUUAAUGUACUCAUUCGGCGCCUUAC
This 520-nucleotide ribosomal RNA is filed under the name uncultured Glomeromycotina. Its description in RNAcentral is "SSU rRNA". It matches the Rfam family "Eukaryotic small subunit ribosomal RNA", at positions 569 to 1091 of the family's 1831-position model. Lineage: Eukaryota; Fungi; Glomeromycota. The record is from RNAcentral.